GGAGAAAUUUGAUCCAUUGUUCUUUGAGGAAUUCUCCUUGAUUGAUUGUUCGGAGUUAUGAAAGGUCACUGCAGUUCAGAGUGCCUGCUCGGGGAGCAGUGGGUAAAGUAUAUAUAGUGUCCAUGGGCAAUAUUUUGGGCAUCUGUUUUUCUGUAACAAGGCUGCCACAAAGAGUUAUAGACAAAUGUCCUCAAGCAAUACUUGGCCUGAAAAAGCAACCGAAGAUAACACCAUGAUCAGUCUGAAGAAGGGUUUCAGCCCAAAACGUCGCCUAUUUUCUUCGCUCCAUAGAUGCUGCUGCACCCGCUGAGUUUCUCCAGCAAUUUUGUGUACCUGCGAUCUUCCAGCAUCUGCAGUUCCUUCUUGAACACCAUGAUCGUUUCUCUCAGUUCGGAACAGGGCCUUGUUAAGUAAAUGUUUCCACUUGCCCAUUAUGGGAUCCCGGACCAUGUCAGCCAAUUUGAGGGUAGCUAUAGAUGAGCAAUACAUGCUAGCCAAGCCAACGAUGCUGAGUUGUUGUGAAUGAAUUAGUUGGAGAUGGCACAGUCCAGAAUCACACAGUUGUGUUCUGUUCGGCAGAGUCAUACAGCACGCACACAGGCCUUUUGAUCCAAUUUGCCCACCAAGGUGCCCCAUCUACCCUAAUUCCAACUGCCGACAUGUGACCCAUGUCCCUCUAAACCUUUUCUAUCCAUAUACCUGUCCAAAUGUGGUUGUAGUAUUUGCUUCAAGUACCGCCUUUGGCACCUGUUCCAUAUACCCACCACUCUAUGUGUAAAUAAAAAGCCCCUCACAUUCCUAUUAAAUCUUUUCCAAAAUUUCCCAAAUUCAUUCGAAUUACGUUUAGGUCAUGAGCAGGGAGAUUUUUUGUGGUGCAUUGUGCUGGUUGAGCUGUUGGAUGAUCAAAGUGUAGCUGAUCUGACUAUAAAAAUGGGAAAAAGGCAGAGAAUUAAAAUAUUUUUAAAGAUAGAUUAUUUUUAACACAACUAUCAGAAAACAAUUGAAAUGGUUUAUAUAAUGUACAAAAAAUUGCUGAGUGCUGAAAUUGUCAAUUCUGUGUUGUCAACAGGAUCUUGACCAUCACUGUUUCUUCCUCAAAAAGUGCAUUGGGAAAAGAAAUCAUCGUUUUUUCUACACUUUACUCUUUUCCUUAACUGUCUAUUUUCUUCUCAUGCUUUCUUUCUGCACUAUCUUUCUAGUGAAAAAUCCCAAUGCACUAUUUCUAUCCAAGAUCAUCACUUUUAUUCUUGCUACAAUUUCGCUUCUUGCUUCUGUACCGUUAUUUUUCUUUUUCGCUUUCCACACUUACCUCAUUGCAGAUGGACUGACCACGUAUGAGCAGAUUUUGAGGUUAUAUAAAAGCGAUAAGAAUCCUUUUCACAAAGGAUGUUGGAGAAACUUUACUGCCCUGUUGUUCGGUAACCAGCUAUCGAGUUGUAAAACAGUGACUGAAGUCACUGAAGUCACAGUGAUCCCAGGUCAUCUGGUGGAAUGUCCAUCCGUCAGUUCAAAGUGUGCAGACACCACAUCUACGACUUUUAUAUCCAUCCUAUCUCGUUCCAAUGCUGUUGUUCCACUACCUGUCACUUUUGUUCCUACUUUGCCCAACCGCCCUCAAAGUGCCCCCUUGCCCACUUUCUCUUACCUUAAUGAAAACUCUGGUGCUCCAUUUCAAACUCUUUCCUCUCAACUGCUCUAUUUACCUGUUACCACAUUAUCUACCCAUUCCCCUGACAAUACUCACUCCAGCUCCCUCUCCUUAUAAAUGUCCUGCCUAAAUCUUAACUGCCACUGCUCGAAUCAACAGAACUGGAACGAAUAUAACAAACGAUUUUCCUUGUUACCUUCUCACUUCCCACUUGUUGCCUUCCCACCCCACUCCCCUUUCCUCCCCCCCUCUGCUUCUAUUUGGACUGAUGGAGGUGCAUUCCAAUGCCUGUGACCUGUGCAGCUAAAGGCGUGGUUGCCAAUGAAGGAACAACUGCAGUACUGAGACGGCUCCAACACAAAUGUGACAUUUGGGCAAAAUGAUUCUCCAUCAACGUGGAUCAAGAAGUUAGCAAUUCACAAACGUCUGUGAGGACAGGAAGAGGCAUAGAGGUAACAUUCUACAAAUGUGACUUAUUGGUGAGUUGCAGUUUCUAGUUGUUCUGUAUUGGUAUUUGUUUAUUAUUAGUGUGUACCAAGAUAGAGUGAAAAAUGUUGUUCACAUACUAUCCAGAUAAAUCAUACCAAAUACGAGUACAUCAGGUGCAGCAAAAGGGAAAAAGGGAACAGAUUGAUUAAAAACACAAUCACAACAGCCAAAAUUCCAGCAGCCUCCCAGUUUUCUUACUUUUUAAUCUCUGGUCUAUGACUGAUUUAGACUUGUUUAUUUGACCAUCCCGGGCAAUAAGGCCAGUUUCGACACCAUUAACUCUCCCCCAGAGUCCCCCACAAACAGUUUCUUGCUUAAAAUUGUGUGUGGGCUAUCUGUUAAACUUCUACUUUACAAGGUUGUUUCUUGAUAAUAAAUUAUUUGAUCUAUCUAUCACAUCAUGUUUGGUGUUGAGCUUGGAUAGGAUAAUGGUAUUAAAGAGCUGUAGUCUAUGAAUAGAAGUCUGACGUAGGUGUCUCUCUUAUCCAGGUGUUCCAGGGAUGAGUGUAGCAUCAGGGAGAUGGCAUCAGCCAUGGACCUGUUGCAGCAGUAGGCGAACUGCAGUGGGUCAAUGCUG
Molecule: long non-coding RNA, 2714 nt
Organism: Leucoraja erinaceus (little skate)
Lineage: Eukaryota; Metazoa; Chordata; Chondrichthyes; Rajiformes; Rajidae
Exons: 5
Source: RefSeq, a predicted model, not a curated record